This 641-nucleotide ribosomal RNA is filed under the name uncultured bacterium. Its description in RNAcentral is "bacterial SSU rRNA". It matches the Rfam family "Bacterial small subunit ribosomal RNA", at positions 95 to 723 of the family's 1533-position model. The record is from RNAcentral.
GUGGCGAACGGGUGAGUAAUACAUAGGUAACCUGCCCCUGUGCGGGGGAUACCAGGAGGAAACUCCUGCUAAUACCGCAUAGCCAUGAGCACCGCAUGGAGCUCAUGCCAAAUAUCCUUCAGGGGAUAGCGCAGGGAUGGACCUAUGGCGCAUUAGCUAGUUGGCGGGGCAACGGCCCACCAAGGCAACGAUGCGUAGCCGGCCUGAGAGGGCGGACGGCCACAUUGGGACUGAGACACGGCCCAGACUCCUACGGGAGGCAGCAGUAGGGAAUUUUCGGCAAUGGGGGAAACCCUGACCGAGCAACGCCGCGUGAGCGAAGAAGGCCUUCGGGUCGUAAAGCUCUGUUGUAAAGGAAGAACGUCGCAUGCAGGAAAUGGUGUGCGAGUGACGGUACUUUACCAGAAAGCCACGGCUAACUACGUGCCAGCAGCCGCGGUAAUACGUAGGUGGCGAGCGUUAUCCGGAAUCAUUGGGCGUAAAGAGGGAGCAGGCGGCCGCAAGGGUCUGUGGUGAAAGACCGAAGCUAAACUUCGGUAAGCCAUGGAAACCGGGCGGCUAGAGUGCGGAAGAGGAUCGUGGAAUUCCAUGUGUAGCGGUGAAAUGCGUAGAUAUAUGGAGGAACACCAGUGGCGAAGGCG